UACGGGGGGGGCAAGCGUUGUUCGGAAUUACUGGGCGUAAAGGGCGCGUAGGCGGUUGGAUAAGGCAGCUGUGAAAACCACGGGCUUAACUCGUGGCCUGCAGUUGAGACUGUCUGGCUUGAGUGUGGGAGAGGAGAGUGGAAUUCCUGGUGUAGCGGUGAAAUGCGUAGAUAUCAGGAGGAACACCCAUAGCGAAGGCAGCUCGCUGGGACGGUACUGACGCUGAGGCGCGAAAGCGUGGGGAGCGAACAGG
Molecule: ribosomal RNA, 253 nt
Filed under: uncultured bacterium
Lineage: Bacteria
Description: partial 16S ribosomal RNA
Rfam family: Bacterial small subunit ribosomal RNA
Source: RNAcentral